GGACUACUGGGGUAUCUAAUCCUGUUUGCUCCCCACGCUUUCGCGCCUCAGUGUCAGUAUCAGUCCAGGUGGCCGCCUUCGCCACUGGUGUUCCUUCCGAUAUCUACGCAUUUCACCGCUACACCGGAAAUUCCUCCACCCUCUACUGUACUCCAGUCAACCAGUUUAAGUUGCAGCUCCUAGGUUAAGCCCAGGGAUUUCACAACUCACUUAGUCAACCACCUACGCGCCCUUUACGCCCAGUAAUUCCGAUUAACGCUCGCACCCUCUGUAUUACCGCGGCUGCUGGCAC
RNAcentral lists this ribosomal RNA (292 nucleotides) under uncultured bacterium. RNAcentral's name for it is "partial 16S ribosomal RNA". The record is from RNAcentral.